GAACUGAACAAAGUCCAGUCAUUACAGUAAAUAUGACCCGUUUGUGUGUGUGCGCGUUUAAACCUCAACAGUGUGUGUGUGUGUGUGUAUGUACUCUAUGCGUAUAACUAUGUACAUAUACAGAAGGCAAUAUUAUAUACAGUAUAUAAAACAGAUAGGAAGAGCUUCGU
Long non-coding RNA from Sebastes umbrosus (honeycomb rockfish), 170 nucleotides. RefSeq lists it as uncharacterized. The transcript is spliced from 3 exons. The record is from RefSeq and is a predicted model, not a curated record. NCBI's taxonomy places the organism in Eukaryota, Metazoa, Chordata, Actinopteri, Perciformes, Sebastidae.